Molecule: long non-coding RNA, 1604 nt
Filed under: Homalodisca vitripennis (glassy-winged sharpshooter)
Lineage: Eukaryota; Metazoa; Arthropoda; Insecta; Hemiptera; Cicadellidae
Description: uncharacterized LOC124359215
Source: RNAcentral
UAAUGUAAUUUAUUACUUCAGUUAAUUUUAACUAUGUUAUCGUCUAUGACGGUACAAGGAUACACAACAGUUAAUUAUAAUGAUUUGUGUUGAAAGUUGCAUUAAUAUUACAGUAGCUGUUAAUGUAUAAUGUACUUUACAUCAAUCCCACUGACAAAAGACCUGCACUUCUAGAUGUGUGCUGAUACAAGCACAAAGAGAACAGUGUUCAGUACUCCUGGCCAGAAGAUCAAGACCAGGACCAAGUCCCCACAGUCACCUCCUAAUGCUUCAAAAGACCUGCACACCAUCUCAACACUUCUAGAUGUGUGCUGAUACAAGCACAAAGAGAACAGUGUUCAGUAAUCCUGGCCAGAAGAUCAAGACCAGGACCAAGUCCCCACAGUCACCUCCUAAUGCUUCAAAAGACAUGCACACCAUCUCAACACUUCUAGAUGUGUGCUGAUACAAGCACAAAGAGAACAGUGUUCAGUACUCCUGGCCAGAAGAUCAAGACCAGGACCAAGUCCCCACAGUCACCUCCUAAUGCUUCAAAAGACAUGCACACCAUCUCAACACUUCUAGAUGUGUGCUGAUACAAGCACAAAGAGAACAGUGUUCAGUACUCCUGGCCAGAAGAUCAAGACCAGGACCAAGUCCCCACAGUCACCUCCUAAUGCUUCAAAAGACAUGCACACCAUCUCAACACUUCUAGAUGUGUGCUGAUACAAGCACAAAGAGAACAGUGUUCAGUACUCCUGGCCAGAAGAUCAAGACCAGGACCAAGUCCCCACAGUCACCUCCUAAUGCUUCAAAAGACAUGCACACCAUCUCAACACUUCUAGAUGUGUGCUGAUACAAGCACAAAGAGAACAGUGUUCAGUACUCCUGGCCAGAAGAUCAAGACCAGGACCAAGUCCCCACAGUCACCUCCUAAUGCUUCAAAAGACCUGCACACCAUCUCAACACUUCUAGAUGUGUGCUGAUACAAGCACAAAGAGAACAGUGUUCAGUACUCCUGGCCAGAAGAUCAAGACCAGGACCAAGUCCCCACAGUCACCCCCUAAUGCUUCAAAAGAGCUGCACAACAUAUCAAACACUGAUUUAAAAUCAGGUGGCCUAAGCAAUAGUGAUGAAUGAGAAGAUUAUAUUGAAGGCAACAACCCAGGGUUCACUCAAAAAUGUUUUUAAAUUCAGUCUUUCAGAAAAAGGAAGUUUUCUACUCUCUUCUACUAACAGUAGUGACAUUUAAAUGCAAUGAAAGUAAAAAGAUUGACAAUAAUACAUUGUUAACAAACAAACCACAAAUGACUAUACAAUAUAGUACAUUUAUUGGAGGUGUUGCCACCACUGACCAGAUGCUUUAUUGAAUUUAAGGCUGCUAUCAAACUGGAAAAAGAUUACAUUGUAUAGCUUUGAGCGAAAUUGCAGUGUAUGUAAACCAGCAAGCACAAACCAAAGAGAAAGUAGGACAAAUACAAUGUGUAUUUCAGAACGGUGACAACAGAGUCUAUCUCCUGUGCUUGAUUAAACAUUUUUUUCUUUGCUAAUACAUAAAUGUGUUAUCUUCUUUGUGUAUAUUAUUCUUCCAUAUAUAGUUUUCAUAGUAAAAAUGUACUGUUUUA